GGGUUGUGAGGUUAAGCGACUAAGCGUACACGGUGGAUGCCCUGGCAGUCAGAGGCGAUGAAGGGCGUGCUAAUCUGCGAUAAGCGCCGGUAAGGUGAUAUGAACCGUUAUAACCGGCGAUACCCGAAUGGGGAAACCCAGUGUGACUCGUCACACUAUCAUUAACUGAAUCCAUAGGUUAAUGAGGCGAACCGGGGGAACUGAAACAUCUAAGUACCCCGAGGAAAAGAAAUCAACCGAGAUUCCCCCAGUAGCGGCGAGCGAACGGGGAGGAGCCCAGAGCCUGAAUCAGCAUGUGUGUUAGUGGAAGCGUCUGGAAAGGCGCGCGAUACAGGGUGACAGCCCCGUACACAAAAGCGCAUGUGCUGUGAGCU
This 374-nucleotide ribosomal RNA is filed under the name Salmonella enterica. Its description in RNAcentral is "partial 23S ribosomal RNA". It matches the Rfam family "Bacterial large subunit ribosomal RNA", at positions 1 to 406 of the family's 2925-position model. Lineage: Bacteria; Pseudomonadati; Pseudomonadota; Gammaproteobacteria; Enterobacterales; Enterobacteriaceae. The record is from RNAcentral. RNAcentral also lists the same sequence under 1 other name.